Molecule: transfer RNA, 57 nt
Organism: Rhizobium sp. Root1212
Lineage: Bacteria; Pseudomonadati; Pseudomonadota; Alphaproteobacteria; Hyphomicrobiales; Rhizobiaceae
Rfam family: tRNA
About the family: Transfer RNA (tRNA) molecules are approximately 80 nucleotides in length.
Source: Rfam
CGGUAGCUCGUCAGGCUCAUAACCUGAAGGCCGCAGGUUCAAAUCCUGCCCCCGCAA